This is a non-coding RNA of Flavonifractor plautii ATCC 29863, 350 nucleotides long. NCBI's taxonomy places the organism in Bacteria, Bacillati, Bacillota, Clostridia, Eubacteriales, Oscillospiraceae. The record is from Rfam.
CAAGCAAGCUGGACAGCCGCGCGGACGGGGCGAAAGGCCUGUCUGUGAGGAAAGUCCGGGCUCCGCAGGGCAAGGAUAACGGGUAACACCCGCCGGGGGCGACCCUAGGAAAAGUGCAACAGAAAUAGUCUGCCGGCCUCUGGCCGGUCAAGGUGGAAAGGUGAGGUAAGAGCUCACCCGACGGCGUGCCAAGCGUCCGUCGCUGUAAACUCUAUCCGGAGCAACGCCGUGGAGGGACAUAUGGUCGGCCCGACCGUCCCGGGGAGGCGGCUGGAGCGUACUGGCAACGGUGCGUCGAGAUAGAUGGCUGUCUUAAAGGACAGAACCCGGCUUACAGGCUUACUUGCAGA